RNAcentral lists this RNase P RNA (326 nucleotides) under Candidatus Comchoanobacter bicostacola. Its description in RNAcentral is "RNase P RNA component class A". It matches the Rfam family "Bacterial RNase P class A". From Rfam's summary of the family: Ribonuclease P (RNase P) is a ubiquitous endoribonuclease, found in archaea, bacteria and eukarya as well as chloroplasts and mitochondria. Its best characterised activity is the generation of mature 5'-ends of tRNAs by cleaving the 5'-leader elements of precursor-tRNAs. Cellular RNase Ps are ribonucleoproteins. The record is from RNAcentral. Lineage: Bacteria; Pseudomonadati; Pseudomonadota; Gammaproteobacteria; Candidatus Comchoanobacterales; Candidatus Comchoanobacteraceae.
GUGGGUGACUGGGUAGCUGCUGAGAAAUCAGAGGAAAGUCCGGGCUCCUCAAAGCAAGACGCCAGGUAACGCCUGGACAGCGUAAGCUGAUGGAAAGUGCCACAGAAAGCAAACCGCCUUUUUAAGGUAAGGGUGAAAAGGUGCGGUAAGAGCGCACCGGUAUCCAGGUAACUGGAUGCGCAUGGUAAACCCCGUCUGGAGCAAGAUCAAGUAUAGGUUGUGUGCUUUGCAUUACCCUGGGUAGAUCGCUUGAGUUGAAUGGUGACAUUUAACCUAGAUAGAUAGCUACACAAGACAGAACCCGGCUUACAGGUCACACCACUUAA